CUACGGGACGCUGCAGUGGGGAAUAUUGCGCAAUGGGCGAAAGCCUGACGCAGCAACGCCGCGUGAGGGAUGAAGGCCUUCGGGUUGUAAACCUCUUUCAGCAGGGAAGAAGCGAAAGUGACGGUACCUGCAGAAGAAGCACCGGCUAACUACGUGCCAGCAGCCGCGGUAAUACGUAGGGUGCAAGCGUUGUCCGGAUUUAUUGGGCGUAAAGAGCUCGUAGGCGGUUAGUCACGUCGGAUGUGAAAAUCCAAGGCUUAACCUUGGACCUGCAUUCGAUACGGGCUGACUAGAGUGUUGUAGGGGAGACUGGAACUCCUGGUGUAGCGGUGAAAUGCGCAGAUAUCAGGAAGAACACCGAUGGCGAAGGCAGGUCUCUGGGCAACUACUGACGCUGAGGAGCGAAAGCGUGGGGAGCAAACAGGAUUAGAUACCCCAGUAGUC
RNAcentral lists this ribosomal RNA (444 nucleotides) under uncultured bacterium. RNAcentral describes it as "partial 16S ribosomal RNA". It matches the Rfam family "Bacterial small subunit ribosomal RNA", at positions 339 to 795 of the family's 1533-position model. The record is from RNAcentral.